GAAAUGCGAUAAGUAAUGUGAAUUGCAGAAUUCAGUGAAUCAUCGAAUCUUUGAACGCACCUUGCGCUCCUUGGUAUUCCUUGGAGCAUGCCUAUUUGAGUAUCAUGAAAUCUUCAAAGUAAAUCUUUUGUUAACUCAAUUGGUUUCUACUUUGGUAUUGGAGGUCUUUGCAGCUUCACACCUGCUCCUCUUUGUUCAUUAGCUGGAUCUCAGUGUUAUGCUUGGUUCCACUCGGCGUGAUAAGUUAUCUAUCGCUGAGGACACUGUAAAAGGUGGCCAAGGUAAAUGCAGAUGAACCGCUUCUAAUAGUCCAUUGACUUGGACAAUACUUUUAUGAUCUGAUCUCAAAUCAGGUAGGACUACCCGCUGAACUGAAG
This 377-nucleotide unclassified non-coding RNA is filed under the name plant metagenome. RNAcentral's name for it is "partial contains 5.8S ribosomal RNA, internal transcribed spacer 2, and large subunit ribosomal RNA". The stretch from base 1 to 105 matches the Rfam family "5.8S ribosomal RNA", at positions 50 to 154 of the family's 154-position model. The record is from RNAcentral.